AGAUUGAACGCUGGCGGCAGGCCUAACACAUGCAAGUCGAGCGGCAGCACGGGUACUUGUACCUGGUGGCGAGCGGCGGACGGGUGAGUAAUGCCUAGGAAUCUGCCUGGUAGUGGGGGAUAACGCUCGGAAACGGACGCUAAUACCGCAUACGUCCUACGGGAGAAAGCAGGGGACCUUCGGGCCUUGCGCUAUCAGAUGAGCCUAGGUCGGAUUAGCUAGUUGGUGAGGUAAUGGCUCACCAAGGCGACGAUCCGUAACUGGUCUGAGAGGAUGAUCAGUCACACUGGAACUGAAGACGUACGGUCCAGUACCUCCGUAACGGGAGGCAGGCAGGUGGGAAUUAGUGGAACAAGUGGGACGAAAGCUAGAUCCAGCCAUCGCCGCGUGUGUAGGAAAGAGGUUCUGGAUUAGUAAAGCUAAGUUUAAGGUAGGAGGAGGUCUUAAUUAACCUAA
This 456-nucleotide ribosomal RNA is filed under the name uncultured soil bacterium. Its description in RNAcentral is "bacterial SSU rRNA". It matches the Rfam family "Bacterial small subunit ribosomal RNA", at positions 26 to 470 of the family's 1533-position model. The record is from RNAcentral.